GAUGAACGCUAGCGGCAGGCCUAACACAUGCAAGUCGAGGGGUAACAUAGGAAAGCUUGCUUUCUGAUGACGACCGGCGCACGGGUGCGUAACGCGUAUACAACCUACCUUUUAGCGGGGAAUAGCCCAGGGAAACUUGGAUUAAUGCCCCAUAGUAUAUAGACUUCUCCUGAAGUUUAUAUUAAACAUUUAUGGCUAUUAGAUGGGUAUGCGUCCUAUUAGUUAGUUGGUAAGGUAACGGCUUACCAAGGCAGCGAUAGGUAGGGGUCCUGAGAGGGAGAUCCCCACACUGGUACUGAGACACGGACCAGACUCCUACGGGAGGCAGCAGUGAGGAAUAUUGGACAAUGGGCGAGAGCCUGAUCCAGCCAUGCCGCGUGCAGGAAGACUGCCCUAUGGGUUGUAAACUGUCUUUUACAGAGGAAGAACCCACCCCACGUGUGGGGGUUUGACGGUACUCUGCGAAUAAGGAUCGGCUAACUCCGUG
RNAcentral lists this ribosomal RNA (487 nucleotides) under uncultured bacterium. RNAcentral describes it as "bacterial SSU rRNA". It matches the Rfam family "Bacterial small subunit ribosomal RNA", at positions 28 to 507 of the family's 1533-position model. The record is from RNAcentral.